CGCGAAUAGCUCAUUACAACAGCCAUAGUUUAUUGGAUGUUUACGUUCCUACAAGGACACCUGCGGUAAUUCUGGAGCUAAUACUUGCGAAAUGCGACAACCUCACGGGAGUCGUGCAUUUAUUAGAUUAAACCAAUCGGUCCUUCGGGACCGCCAUUUGGUGAACUCUGAAUAACUUAGCUGAUCGCACAGUCUCGUACUGGCGACAAAUCUUUCAAGUGUCUGCCUUAUCAACUUUCGAUGGUAGUUUAUACGACUACCAUGGUUGUAACGGGUAACGGAGAAUAAGGGUUCGACUCCGGAGAGGGAGCCUGAGAAACGGCUACCACAUCCAAGGAAGGCAGCAGGCGCGCAAAUUACCCAGUCGCAGAACGCGGAGGUAGUGACGAAAAAUAACGAGGUGGCUCUCUAUGAGGUCCAUCAUCGGAAUGGGUACAAUUUAAAUCCUUUAACGAGGAUCUAUUGGAGGGCAAGUCUGGUGCCAGCAGCCGCGGUAAUUCCAGCU
Molecule: ribosomal RNA, 505 nt
Filed under: Trichodorus primitivus
Lineage: Eukaryota; Metazoa; Nematoda; Enoplea; Triplonchida; Trichodoridae
Description: SSU rRNA
Rfam family: Eukaryotic small subunit ribosomal RNA
Source: RNAcentral